GGGGCGGCGGCGGCAGCCCGCGGGCGGCUCUCGCGGCCGGUGCCGCCGCUGCCGCCGAGGGCACCCGCGGGGCUGCUGGCGAGGCGGCUCCGGGCGUCCCGGGCGCGGGGCCGCGCUGGAGGCGGGAGCUUGCCUUCGCUCGCCGCUGCCUAGGGGGAGAAGGAGGCUUUUCGCGGCUUCUGGAGACGCGCUUAGCUCGUUAUCGAAACCCAGCUCCGCACGUGCCAGGUUCUUACUGCAGCUGAACGCGCAGGGAAAAAGGCCAGAUGGAGUCAGAUGCGAAAGACGAAUGAUGCAGUUUUAUGCUAGUUAAACUACUAAAAAUGCAGGCGUACUUCACCACACGGUGCAGCAACCGAGUGGUGAAUAUUGCUAGCGAACAGGUUUCACUGGUUAAUGCAAAGUAACUUGUGACAAAUAUGCACAGCACAUGCUAAUUAAUUAAAUGUUUGUUAGAUGCUCUUUGUGUCUGUUGAUAAGAGAGAAGACCGUUUCAGGUGAAUCAGUGCUAAGUGUCUUUGGUAACUUGUUUAUACCGACACAGUAAUUCUUAAGCAUUCCUGAUGCAUUUAUUAAAAGCAUUUGGUGCUGUUGAUAUAAAUCAUCCUGUGAGUAUUUUUGGCAUGUUAUGUACUAUAACUGUGCAAAUCAUGUUGAUGAUAAGGGGGGAAAUAUAAGAAAACAGAAGAAUACUAGGAAAGGAAUAACCAGUACCAUGCUGUUCAGUUUAAGCUCCACUUAGAUGUAAUAGUUCAGGUUCUGCUGUUGACCUUAUUAAUUAAUUCUGUUUCAGGCUUCUGAUAGAAAAGGGCAAACUUUAAACAAGUGUUAUAUCUAGGUAGACCAGUGUACAAAUUCAGUUUUUAACAAGUGUCCGAACUAAAUAACUGAGAGGAUGUAAAUUUGGGAGAAGAAACUGCCAAAGCAUGUCACAAAGGGCUGGACUUGAAAUGUGACCGAAAUAUGUUGUUUUCAGUUCUGCCUCUGAAGGUUAGAAGCAGUCUUUUAUCCCAUCCCUCUAUUCCAUAACAGUGGGUUUUAGCAAUAAGUGUUGGCACUCGCUCCAGUGCAAGCUGCUUCACGACAAAGGUGCUGGUGUUUUAGUUGCUGGUCCAAUAUUCAACGCUAACUAUGAAGGAAUCAAAGCAAUUGGGUUAAAGGGAUCUGCACUGUAGGAAUACGAAGUGGCUACUGAUGGAUCUAUUGUAAGCACAGACAUUCCCUAAGAAUGAUUUAAAAACUGUGGUUAACUUAUGCCUUGUUUUUGUAUGAGAAAUUCUAGUACAUGCUGUGUGGCUGAGCACAUGUUCAUCAGUCAGUGGUUAAAAAACACGGAUCUUCUGCUAUUAAAACAAAUUUUCAGCAAACAUAUAACUUGUGUGUCUUACUGUUCUGCUUAGCUUCUGCAUUUUUCAUUUGCUGUUUUCUGCUUCUGCUGCCCAGUCCUGACUUGUCCAGAAAGUGAAGACUCCAUCUUCAUAAAUUAUUGUUCUGUGUUGUCUGUAUGUUUGAGAAGGAAUCUCACAAAUCUGAGAACAGAUGAGCUGCCUGAAUACAACCCUAGCUUCCUGUUAAGCCAGAACAAUAUAUUCAUACAGGAAUAUAUCCUUUAAGAACCCGGAUAACCUACUGAGUAUCUUUGCUCCACUGACAGUAGCUAUAAAAAAAAAAAAAUCAUGCUGUGCAAGUGCUUCUGGAUAGCAGCUUUAUGUUCACACUCAGUUACAAUGUUCUUGCACUUCUCGUAUCGGUUUGGUUAUAUAUUCAAAAGAUUUGCCUCUUAAUGCUCUCAGUAAUAAGUUCCUUUAAUUUGUGGUUGUUCUUUCUACUUUGUUUUCUCAUAUAGUCUCUCCAUAGUCACUACAUAUUACCUGAUGUCUUAUCAAUUUUGGGGGCUGAUAACCUGUCCUUAUAAGAUCAGCAGCGGAUUCACUGAACUCUUUACCUUUUCGAGCUGACUCAACACAAUUACUAUAUCAAUGUUCUGAUACCUUCUGCAAACAAUUUGUUAGGUACUUGGCUAAAGUUUUCUAGAAAGACACCUAAAUGAAGUUUGUUAAUAAUUGAUUUACAUGCAAAAGAAGCUUGUCCGUGAAUUCCUGCUGACUACUAAUUGAGGUAUGUGUGUUUGUAUGGUCAGUUAGCUAGAUGUCAGCAGUGAUUUAACUGUUUAUGCCUCAUGUGAUCUGAGGUAUCUAGAAGUAUCAUGUGAGAUCGUGUUUGCUUUCCUGUUCCUAAUUUUAAACAGGGGCCUCUUCUGUGGCAGUCUGUUGCUGAGUAUAUAAGCUGCUUUGAGGCAUCCUCCUUGGAGAAUUCUGUGGUCAGAAUUUCAAAUGAAUUCCUGGAAAACUUUGUUCAUUGUGAAGGAAGGCUAAUUUAUAGAACAAAAAAGUUGAUGCUUGUUUGAGAAAUUUUACCAGGAAGAAGGUUGUGAUAGUUGAUGUAUGUCCAAGGCAUGUGCCUUUCAGGUAAAUGUAGUGAAAAAGGUACCAAUUGAUCGUCUCUCUGCCACACGAGUAAGAGACUUGUUUUUUCAGUUAUAUAGGUACUAUUUUCUUAUUUUUCCAACUGUUAUGAUCUUAAAGGAUCGUUCCCCCUAUUCAUUGCUUUUGUUGAUUGUUCUUUUCUUUGUUUCCUGAGAGGUGUUAACAGAAGUCACUUUUCAGGCUGCAACUUGCUUAUUGUUUUCUGCUGGGAACUGUAAGCCAGUCAUUAAGGUUUUAGUAGAGUGAUAGGCAGGGCUGUCAAUAUAUUUUAAAGCUAGCUAUUAUAAUUUUCAGAUUUGGAAAAGUCUGUAAUGUCUUUAGACACUCCAAUAAAAUUUAAAAUUGUGCUUUGCAUAAAGUUAAAUCUUAACAAAAGCACUUCUUGGGAGGAGAUCUACUGGUUUUGUCAGGCCAGCUGAAGCAGAAACCACUGAAAGAUAUUGGAGUAUUAGGAGCAAACUGAGCUCGUUAAUGUAUCAGAAUGAGUUCUGCUGGAAUUACAGUCUCUGUGAGAAUAUGCUAAAGCUGAUUAAAUCUGACAAACACUUUUUUCUGCCUAAUAUGAAAGUUCCAUUCUCUUUCCAAAAGUCCCAGUUCAGAAGUCAGUACAUGUAUUAUACAACUGCAAAUUAGAAAAGCUGGGGUUCUGUUUGAGCUCUUUGAUUGGAGAUCCAGUUUUAAAGAAUGCUGAUCUAUUUUGCAAAAGUUGACUUGCUUGUUAUUUUGUAAAUUUAUAAGGUCAGUCUGUAGGCUUUAAAAAUCAGAACCUCUUGUAAUGCUUCCAGCAAAAAGGCUUAGAAACUAUGGAUAUUGGUAGGUGAUAGGAUGAAGAGAGAACUUACUUGCAAAUUACUUUACCUAGAAGUAUUUUCCAUGUAUGGUCAGAGAGCAAAGGGAAAUAUUUUUUUCUGUCGCUUUGAAAUUCCAUUACAGAAGAUUCAGAAAGCUAUUGUUCUUCUUCCAGUGGAAUUAAUCUUCAGUGUGGUCUGCUGACUUUUUUCUUUUCCAACCUGUUACUUAUCAAAAAGCCACUAAAUAGUUCUCUAGCCAAAAUGUAAAUCAUUAACGCUGUUAAAUUAUGUUGGGUGAGGAUUGAUGAUUUUGCAUGUUGUUUUCCAUAAUCUGAAAAAUCAAAAUUUACACUUCUCAUUUUGUUUUCUAUAGCUUCAUCAUGAACCCUUUUCAGUUUGCAAAAUAUACUUCUGAAAAUAAAACAUGGGCUGUGAAGUUUCAGUGACUAACAGCUUCACUGUCAAUAUAAAAAUGUUUUAUAUGGCUCUGUAAAUCUGAAGAACAUCUUUGUGUUAAUUCUCACUUUAUAAACGAACAGGGAUAACACCUGCACAUGAGACUUUAUUUUUAAACAGCAAUGUCAUAUCUUGGUACAGGCAGAAGUUGUCCCUUAGCUUUUGCUUAGAAUUAUAUGAAAUUAUCACUUCCCUAUCUUUUGUUCAGUUAACCAAUUUGUUCUUUGUCACUCCUUGAAUAAAAAUUAGUGUGUCUUUGCUUUAAAUUUGAUGCAGGAGCAUAGCCUUUUUCCUCAAAAAAAAUUGAGGUUUAAAUGUUUUAACUAAAUUAAACUUGUAGUUCAUCUAAGAUCACUCUAGUAAUUCCAACUGAAACUAUACAAUUUACUGAUUUCAGUACUGUUGUUGAUAAAUGUAACUUAUUAUUCUUCUGAGUCACUCAGCUACUUUGUUUUGCACUGGAAUGGAAGACCAAAUCAACCUGUUUUGUCCUUGGCAGGUCUGCUGCCGAAACUGGCCAGCCGUGAAUGAUUGAUAUAAAUAGAAUUACAUUCCAUUCUUUUUAUAAUUGAGAGCUCCGAUACAGCAGCCAGAACAGACAUGAGGCUGUUGAACAAGCUGUUGCCUUAUAGUUCUAUAAGCAGUAACUAAACAGCAUUUUGUGAGGUUCCAAGACUGAACUGCAGUAAACUUUUUCCAGUGCAUGAUGCAAUACUAUAAUCUCUCUUACUAUGCUUUCCAGUACGUCAGAGUCCUUGAAAUAUGACCUAAAAUAAACUGUGGUGAGCUACUGGGUCUUUAAAUGUUUCACUUAGGCUUUUAGUGUUUUUUAUUUCUGUAAUCUAAUGAAAGUAGGGGUAGUAAAUAAAGAAAUCCUGAGGUAGUAUCUUCUGCGGUGGGGCAGCUGGAAUAGUGGAAGGGUGCAAGAGACUAAUUGUCCCAGCCUAUAUUUAGUCUGAAGUUGUGUCCUUUUCCAGUUCUGCAGUAAAUGUUUUCCUGAAAACCUAUCUGGCUUUCUAGUGAAAUUAGCUGUUCCAGUAAAAGAUAGUAUCCCUUUCUUCAAGCCAUUGCUAGGUAUUGUAAAGCAGACUUACUUACUGUUCUCUCUUGCCUUCUCCAGACCUCCUUCCUCAUCCUACUUUUCUCAACUUGCAAAAUAAACUUAUGGAGCUCUUUUCUCAGCAGUCCCUCAGGUGUUUUUCUCAGUGAUGUAUUCUUGAGACUUUUGCGGUGAGGAGACUAUUCUGGAGAAAGAACAGUAUAUACAUGCUUGUGUCAGAAACAGCCUAAAUUCUCUGUACAGUGGAAGCUGACUGAGAUUAAAUGAAAAAUUUUAAUGAAAAUAAAAUGAAAAAUUAUAUAUUGAUGUGUAAAUCACUAUCUGAGCACUGUAGAAGAAAACAGAAUGAGAGUUGCAUGAGUGGGAUAUGGUUUUGCUGUAGGGCAGUAUCUCAGCUAUGUCAGAGAGCUUGUCUAAGAAUGCUCAACUGGCAGAUGAGCAGAAUAACGGGGCCCAUAAUUCAAUAAGAAAAGAGCCAUCACCAUUCGUUUCUUUAUAUCAAAGUUUCAGAAUGUUCAAAACAAACAAAAAAAACCUGCAGACAGGAAACUAUUUGCAGGGUGAAAGAUGGUAUGUGCUCUUAGGACUGGAGUUUUGGCUCGGUGGCCCGGUAGCUGUGCAUCCAUUUCCAUUUGUAACUAACCUUGUUCUGUUUGUGAGCGUUGUGUUCUGAGGCAGACCCAAAGUCUUUGUUCAGGCUGUACUGUAGAGCUAUGCAUGACUUCAGUUUGCUUUUUCACUUUUUAGUUGGAGUACAGAGCUUGCUUUACUUGACAGUAUGUGGUUACCUCUUUGAACGUAGCAGAAAUAAUUUUUUUUGAAAUAUUCUCCAGAAUUGGGAGCAAGUGUGUGUGUAUGUAUAUGUACACAUAUAUACACAUACAUAUAUACACACAUGCACACUAGCUGCUUCACUUUUGCUGGAGCUAGCAUUUAAAAGCAAAACAGAAAAAUUUUAGCUUCAGAUAUGAUCUGAAGUAAACUUGGCAACGUACUGUGCUUUCAGUGAGAAGUAUUCUCGGUCGCUCAGCAAACUGAGCGUAGGCCUGUAGUUAAAUGCUUCAAGAUCAAACUUUUGACAUGUAAAUAGGGCACAGUUGUACAUGCACAAAAAGUGGGAAAAGCUGAGGAGAUGGAAAAAAUAAAGCUGAAAGGUGUCCAACUCAUAAUAUUUUCCUAAUAUGGAGAGACUUUUCAGUUACAGAAGUACAUUUGUCUUGCUUGUUUGUGGGAGAAAAUAUUAAACAUCAUAAAAAUUAGGAAGCUCCUCUGUAAACUUGCUGCUGAAAAUAAGAGCCUUUCUGAGGCUUAGUUCUGCUUGGGAAGUUUACCUCCUCUCUAGCCUGUUUUUUAAAAUAAAUAAGUGAAAAUAAAAUUCCACUGAAGGAAUACUGGCAACAAGCACAUACCUUAAUAAUAGCGCACUUCAGAGAAGGUGCAAAUACAAGACCCUUCCCUCCAUGUAUUACUGAGGUAACUGGGGGCGGGGGGGACAGUGCCAAGACCAAAACUGUUGUUACCUACCAACCUGAAUGCAAAAGAUACCAACCUAUAUUUGCAUUAUUAUGCCAUCCAACUAAAUUUUGUGUAAUAAAAGUGUAGCAGUAAGAGAUGAAGUGAAAAUGAAAAACUUGGUAGUUUGCAGGUACUGUUUAAAAAGAACAGAAACACUUACCUAUUCAGUUGUAGUUGUCUGAAGAAAAAAUCCUCUUUCAGAAAGAUUGUUUAUACUUUAGAAGACAGAUAGCUUUGAUAAGGUAUGAGACAAUCUGUUGUUGAUAGUCGUGACCUAAUGUGACCUGUUCCUAUGCAGUCUGCUCUUUGAAGUUACUGAACUGUUGCUCUUGAAUUAUUUACAUGGUGGUUCCCCAGCUAAUCACUUUUGAAAAUCCAUCAAGAUAAAAGGGCUACAGUAUUACAGAAUAUUAAAGCUUGUAUAUUAACCUAUAAUUAAAAAUCUGUAAUGAAUUUCAAAUUAGUCUAUAUCUACUUCUUAUAUC
Dromaius novaehollandiae (emu) is the source of this 6793-nucleotide long non-coding RNA. RefSeq lists it as uncharacterized. The record is from RefSeq and is a predicted model, not a curated record. NCBI's taxonomy places the organism in Eukaryota, Metazoa, Chordata, Aves, Casuariiformes, Dromaiidae. The transcript has 3 exons.